This 1372-nucleotide ribosomal RNA is filed under the name uncultured bacterium. RNAcentral describes it as "bacterial SSU rRNA". It matches the Rfam family "Bacterial small subunit ribosomal RNA", at positions 28 to 1381 of the family's 1533-position model. The record is from RNAcentral.
GAUGAACGCUGGCGGCGUGCCUAAUACAUGCAAGUCGAGCGAACGGACGAGAAGCUUGCUUCUCUGAUGUUAGCGGCGGACGGGUGAGUAACACGUGGAUAACCUACCUAUAAGACUGGGAUAACUUCGGGAAACCGGAGCUAAUACCGGAUAAUAUUUUGAACCGCAUGGUUCAAAAGUGAAAGACGGUCUUGCUGUCACUUAUAGAUGGAUCCGCGCUGCAUUAGCUAGUUGGUAAGGUAACGGCUUACCAAGGCAACGAUGCAUAGCCGACCUGAGAGGGUGAUCGGCCACACUGGAACUGAGACACGGUCCAGACUCCUACGGGAGGCAGCAGUAGGGAAUCUUCCGCAAUGGGCGAAAGCCUGACGGAGCAACGCCGCGUGAGUGAUGAAGGUCUUCGGAUCGUAAAACUCUGUUAUUAGGGAAGAACAUAUGUGUAAGUAACUGUGCACAUCUUGACGGUACCUAAUCAGAAAGCCACGGCUAACUACGUGCCAGCAGCCGCGGUAAUACGUAGGUGGCAAGCGUUAUCCGGAAUUAUUGGGCGUAAAGCGCGCGUAGGCGGUUUUUUAAGUCUGACGUGAAAGCCCACGGCUCAACCGUGGAGGGUCAUUGGAAACUGGAAAACUUGAGUGCAGAAGAGGAAAGUGGAAUUCCAUGUGUAGCGGUGAAAUGCGCAGAGAUAUGGAGGAACACCAGUGGCGAAGGCGACUUUCUGGUCUGUAACUGACGCUGAUGUGCGAAAGCGUGGGGAUCAAACAGGAUUAGAUACCCUGGUAGUCCACGCCGCAAACGAUGAGUGCUAAGUGUUAGGGGGUUUCCGCCCCUUAGUGCUGCAGCUAACGCAUUAAGCACUCCGCCUGGGGAGUACGACCGCAAGGUUGAAACUCAAAGGAAUUGACGGGGACCCGCACAAGCGGUGGAGCAUGUGGUUUAAUUCGAAGCAACGCGAAGAACCUUACCAAAUCUUGACAUCCUUUGACAACUCUAGAGAUAGAGCCUUCUCCUUCGGGGGACAAAGUGACAGGUGGUGCAUGGUUGUCGUCAGCUCGUGUCGUGAGAUGUUGGGUUAAGUCCCGCAACGAGCGCAACCCUUAAGCUUAGUUGCCAUCAUUAAGUUGGGCACUCUAAGUUGACUGCCGGUGACAAACCGGAGGAAGGUGGGGAUGACGUCAAAUCAUCAUGCCCCUUAUGAUUUGGGCUACACACGUGCUACAAUGGACAAUACAAAGGGCAGCGAAACCGCGAGGUCAAGCAAAUCCCAUAAAGUUGUUCUCAGUUCGGAUUGUAGUCUGCAACUCGACUACAUGAAGCUGGAAUCGCUAGUAAUCGUAGAUCAGCAUGCUACGGUGAAUACGUUCCCGGGUCU